UGGUUACAAUAGCAGAGAGGAUACACCUGUUCCCAUUCCGAACACAGAAGUUAAGCAAGGUAAAUGGAAUAACUAAAGAUAGUGUUACUAAUAAUAGAGUA
Molecule: ribosomal RNA, 101 nt
Filed under: Clostridioides difficile
Lineage: Bacteria; Bacillati; Bacillota; Clostridia; Peptostreptococcales; Peptostreptococcaceae
Source: RNAcentral